This 25-nucleotide small RNA is filed under the name Bombyx mori (domestic silkworm). RNAcentral describes it as "ovarian small RNA-10981". The record is from RNAcentral. Lineage: Eukaryota; Metazoa; Arthropoda; Insecta; Lepidoptera; Bombycidae.
ACACAAAGUAUGAGAGGAUCGCCAC